Molecule: ribosomal RNA, 350 nt
Filed under: Polybia occidentalis nigratella
Lineage: Eukaryota; Metazoa; Arthropoda; Insecta; Hymenoptera; Vespidae
Description: partial 16S ribosomal RNA
Source: RNAcentral
AAAAUAAAUAGUUUUUUAAUUGAAAACUUGAAUGAAAGAGUUGAUAAAAUAUAAAUUGUUUCAAAUUAAUUAUAUUUAAUUUAAAUUAAAAGUUAAAAUGCUUUUAUUUUUUUAUUAGACGAUAAGACCCUAAGAAUUUAAUUUUUUAUUUUUUAAUAUAAUUUUUAUUAAGAAUUUAUUAUAAAUUAAAUAAUUUUAUUGGGAGGAUAAUUAAAUUUUUAUAAACUUUUAUUUAUUGAUAAUAUUUAUAAAUAAAAUUUUAAUGAUUAUUUUUAAGAUUAUUAGAAUGAAUUACCUUAGGGAUAACAGCGUUAUAAUUUUGGAGAGUUCAUAUUGAUAAGAUUGUUUGC